GGGAAACAGGUUAAUAUUCCUGUACCUUUCAGCAUUAAAACCAACACUUCCGGAUAUGUCAGGCAUUCUUGCCUGGAUGUUCAAGCGUCUCAAAUCUGCGGAGAGCCGUAAUGGCGAGAAACAGAUUAAAGCGUGAUGACGUAAGCUGGCAAAUUCCAGGAGUCCGUGAAAAGGGAGCUGAAAGCCCGUACCGAGAUCCAACACUGGUGCCCCAAGCUGAGAAGGCUAAGGCGUGUCGGCAUAUGCUAGCUAAGGGAAUUCGGCAAAAUAGCCACGUAACUUCGGGAUAAGUGGUGCCUGCUUUGCAAGAAGCAGGUCGCAGUGACGAGGGGACUCUAACUGUCUAAUAACAACAUAGGUGAUUGCGAAUCCGUAAGGACUAGUACAAUCACUGAAUCCUGCCCAGUGCAGGUACCUGAAAACCGGGUUCAACCGGAAGAAGGGCCUGUCAACGGCGGGGGUAACUAUGACCCUCUUAAGGUAGCGUAGUACCUUGCCGCUUAAUUGGCGGCUUGCAUGAAUGGAACAAUGAGAGUCUCACUGUCCCUAGCUGGUACCCGGUGAACCUUACAUUCCAGUGCAGAGUCUGGAGACCCCUAAUGGGAAGUGAAGACCCCGUGGAGCUUUACUGCAGCCUGCCGUUGGGCUGUGGUUCUGAUUGUAGAGCAUAGGUAGGAGACGUCGAAGCUCGGGCGCCAGUCCGAGUGGAGUCGCCCUUGGAAUACUACCCUUUCGAAGCUACCGCCCUAACUCUGAGAAGAGGACCUCGGUAGGUGGGCAGUUUGGGUGGGGCGCCACGCCCUUGAAAAGAUAUCAAGGGCGCCCUAAGGUUGACUCAGUUGGGUCGGAAACCCAACAAAGAGUGUAAAGGCAUAAGUCAGCCUGAUGUUACCUCGCAUAGCAAGAGGUGAUAAGACGAAAGUCGGGCUUAGCGAACCUCUCAGCUCUCUUGGUGAGAGCGUUAGAUGACAGAAAAGCUACCCCGGGGAUAACAGAGUCGUCACCGGCAAGAGCACAUAUCGACCCGGUGGCUUGCUACCUCGAUGUCGGUUCUUUCCAUCCUGGCCGUGCAGCAGCGGCCAAGGGUGAGGUUGUUCGCCUAUUAAAGGAGAUCGUGAGCUGGGUUUAGACCGUCGUGAGACAGGUCGGUUACUAUCUACUAGAGGUG
This 1168-nucleotide ribosomal RNA is filed under the name bioreactor sludge metagenome. RNAcentral's name for it is "bacterial LSU rRNA". It matches the Rfam family "Archaeal large subunit ribosomal RNA", at positions 1510 to 2722 of the family's 2987-position model. The record is from RNAcentral.